UUACAUUAUUUUCUGUGAUUUUAUUAAAUCAUUGAGUUACAUUAUUUUCUUUCUUCAUUUCAUGUGUACUGUGAUAUUAUUCCUCAUUAAAUCACAUUUAGUUGUUAAUUUUGUAUUUUGAAAUGCAUUCUUUUAGUUACUUUCUUUUCGAUGAAUAUGUUGGUUUUAGGGGUUAUCUAGAGUAAAUUUGUUGGUUUUAGCUUGAAAGGAAUGUGACAUGCACGAUUUCCUUUUCAAAAAUUUCAAGGAACUCUUGAAAGACUAAAUGCAUCAAUGACCAAUCUGUAUCAAAUUGAAGUGGUGGACAAUGGGGUUCCCCUCCCCCCCAAAUCCCCCCUAUUUGAUUUUUUUUUUUAACCAGUUCUUCACUGAUUCAGCCAAUGAUUUAAAAAGCGGAUUGGUGACCCGGAUCGGCACCUCAAAAACCGAUCCGGAUCGGGAAUCGGCUGAAUUGAUCGGAUUAAAGCUUCAAAAAAAUCCAAAAAAAUUAUUAAAAUUCAUUAUAAAUGUUGUUUUUCAGAAAUCCAAUAAGAAAUGAGGGUACUACAUUAUUAACUUUCAAUUUUUUCAUCAAUUUUUUAAUAUUGAGAUGCUCUUUCCCUGUAUAAACUUAAGUAUUAAAUUUGCAUCACAUAAAAAAAAAUCAUAGCAUUAUCAUGGAUAAAAUAUAUAAUUAUACGUGGACUAAUAAAGAAUAGACUAAAUCAAUGAAAGAAUGGCCAUUAAAAUCUCGUUUUGGCGAAAAACCCUAAUCCGCUAAAAAUACCCAAAUUAUUACAACCUAACUAACUAUAAUCCAAAAUUAUUACAACCUAACUAACUAUAAUCCAAAAUUAUUACAACCUAACUAACUAUAAUCCAAAAUUAUUAUAACCUAACUAAUUAUAAUAUUAUAUACUGAAAUUAUAAUUAUUAGUUUACAUUUUAUAAUUAUUUUAUUAGAUAAAUAAUAACAAAUUAAAAAUAUUUUAUAAUAUUAUCUAAUUUAAAAUGUAUUAUUGACAACUAUAAGAAAAAUAGUACAUUACAUGAUUUAUAAUGUAAAAAUUAAUAAAUAAAAUAAAAGAUUUGGUUAUCAAUGUAAAAAUUAAUAAAAUGCGUACAAAUUUUGGAAAAAACACUUUAAUUUAUUAUAUGCCCAAGGGGGAACAAAAAUUAGCUCAAGAAAAGAUAACUCUUAUAUGGUCCGAGAGGGGAUUCGAACUUGAGAUGUCAAAACAAAUAACAUUAGUGAUAACUAUCAUGCCUCCUUAACAUAUGUGUUUAAAAUUGCCUAUUAAUAACAUAUAUUUACAUUAUAUUUUCAUUUAAUGAUGUUUGGGAAUUAUCCAACAUCAAAGGAUGAGUAUUCAAAUAUGCUAUAUAAAUAACUAUGUAAUUGGAAGAUUAAUGCAAGUGUGAAAACACUAGGGCUUCAGUGCACAUGGCACACGUGCAUGUGUGU
This 1444-nucleotide long non-coding RNA is filed under the name Amborella trichopoda. RNAcentral describes it as "long non-coding RNA (ATRI_LNC001914)". The record is from RNAcentral. Lineage: Eukaryota; Viridiplantae; Streptophyta; Magnoliopsida; Amborellales; Amborellaceae.